UACGUAGGGUGCAAGCGUUGUCCGGAUUUACUGGGUUUAAAGGGUGCGCAGGCGGGCUGUUAAGUCAGUGGUUAAAGCACACGGCUCAACCGUGGGAAUGCCAUUGAUACUGGCAGCCUUGAGUACAGAUGAGGUAGGCGGAAUUCAUAGUGUAGCGGUGAAAUGCAUAGAUACUAUGAGGAACACCAAUUGCGAAGGCAGCUUACUGGACUGUAACUGACGCUGAGGCACGAAAGCGUGGGUAGCGAACAGG
This 253-nucleotide unclassified non-coding RNA is filed under the name uncultured Bacteroidia bacterium. Its description in RNAcentral is "contains 16S-23S intergenic spacer region". It matches the Rfam family "Bacterial small subunit ribosomal RNA", at positions 524 to 776 of the family's 1533-position model. The record is from RNAcentral. Lineage: Bacteria; Pseudomonadati; Bacteroidota; Bacteroidia.